AUACGUAGGGGGCAAGCGUUAUCCGGAUUCAUUGGGCGUAAAGAGCGCGUAGGCGGAUUGUUAAGUCAGAUGUGAAAACCGGGGGCUCAACCCGCGGCCUGCAUCUGAAACUGGCAGUCUUGAGUCUGGUAGAGGAGUGUGGAAUUCCCAGUGUAGCGGUGAAAUGCGCAGAUAUUGGGAGGAACACCAGUGGCGAAGGCGGCACUCUGGGCCACGACUGACGCUGAGGCGCGAAAGCUAGGGGAGCAAACAGGAUUAGAUACCCUGGUAGUCCUAGCCGUAAACGAUGGGCACUAGGUGUGGGAGGUCAUCGACUCCUUCCGUGCCGCAGCUAACGCAUUAAGUGCCCCGCCUGGGGAGUACGGCCGCAAGGUUAAA
RNAcentral lists this ribosomal RNA (378 nucleotides) under uncultured bacterium. Its description in RNAcentral is "bacterial SSU rRNA". It matches the Rfam family "Bacterial small subunit ribosomal RNA", at positions 523 to 898 of the family's 1533-position model. The record is from RNAcentral.